GAUGAACGCUGGCGGCGUGCCUAAUACAUGCAAGUCGAGCGAACAGACGAGGAGCUUGCUCCUCUGACGUUAGCGGCGGACGGGUGAGUAACACGUGGAUAACCUACCUAUAAGACUGGGAUAACUUCGGGAAACCGGAGCUAAUACCGGAUAAUAUAUUGAACCGCAUGGUUCAAUAGUGAAAGACGGUUUUGCUGUCACUUAUAGAUGGAUCCGCGCCGCAUUAGCUAGUUGGUAAGGUAACGGCUUACCAAGGCAACGAUGCGUAGCCGACCUGAUAGGGUGAUCGGCCACACUGGAACUGAGCCACGGUCCAGACUCCUACGGGAGGCAGCAGUAGGGAAUCUUCCGCAAUGGGCGAAAGCCUGACGGAGCAACGCCGCGUGAGUGAUGAAGGUCUUCGGAUCGUAAAACUCUGUUAUUAGGGAAGAACAAAUGUGUAAGUAACUAUGCACGUCUUGACGGUACCUAAUCAGAAAGCCACGGCUAACUACGUG
RNAcentral lists this ribosomal RNA (497 nucleotides) under uncultured bacterium. RNAcentral's name for it is "partial 16S ribosomal RNA". It matches the Rfam family "Bacterial small subunit ribosomal RNA", at positions 28 to 507 of the family's 1533-position model. The record is from RNAcentral.